Long non-coding RNA from Zophobas morio, 1757 nucleotides. RefSeq lists it as uncharacterized. The record is from RefSeq and is a predicted model, not a curated record. NCBI's taxonomy places the organism in Eukaryota, Metazoa, Arthropoda, Insecta, Coleoptera, Tenebrionidae. The transcript has 3 exons.
AUUUGAAAUAAUAUUGGUUUUUGUAGUAAACACAGGACGUCGUAAUAGUCUGAUGAUGGAUAAGUAAUUGUCUUUGGAUAGAUAGGAUCCCAAGCAGCAGACUGUCGUCUAAUUCACGUCAAUUUUUGGUCAUAACUCGUCGGCGACGUCAUUCGCCCAAAAAAUCACGUGAUAAUGACGAGAUUUUUAUGACUUACUUCUGACGUCAAUUAAUGACGUCAAAAGGCCGUCUUUUUUUCGUCAUUUUUUAUAGAUUAUAUGAUCAAUUAGAUGUGGGUGGUCGUAUUCUUUAAAAAGUGGCCUUCAUAAUGCUUAAUUAUAUUUAGAGCAAAAAAUACAACGGCUUUAUUAGACAUACACCAAACACAAGUUUUUUCAUUCUAAUAAUUUCUAAUAAAAUAAUUAAUUUCUGAAAAUUUGUUUACUCUGGAAAUGUUAUUUUGUAAGUACCUGCUUGGCAAAUUAUAAAUAGAACAUCCGGGGUUGACCGUAUAAUAGUGAAAGGACCCUAGGAAAUUCUUUGUCUAUUGUCCCUACAACGGGACAAGAUUUUGAAGAAUUCCUUCGUCGAAUUUUGAUUUUAUAAAGACGUUUAUAAAGUGAUGAUGGUUACCAAAAAAAUUAGAGAGUGAUUUAAUAUUUAGUUUUAUUAAAUUUAUUUCAUCGCAUGAAAAAAUAAUGCUUAACUUCCGUAUUUACUAUACAAUACAUCAGAUGUUUGAGGCGUGCAUUCGGACUUUCCCUUUUUUCGGUAUUUAUGUUUAUUGCACUUCACAGUGACUCAUUCCAAUAUUUCCAGUUGGGUCUCAACCACCGAAGCUUUCUUGUGUAUCCGUUACUCACUUCAUUUUUAACACAGUUUUGUGAAAAUUUCUGCCAUUCAGAGUCGGGUUGUACUUAUUUACACUAGUUUUUUCAGAUAAGCUGGAAAGACCACCAUUAAUCACUGAAGAUACUCCCACUAAUUAUGAAGAACUUACGGUGAUUGUUUUUGAAAAUGAGGCGCCAUAAAAUAUUGCAAAGAUUUGAAACAAAUACAAAACACAUGUGCGAAACGAAAGAAAUGCUAAAGGAAACGAGUGAAAAAAUCUCUAACAUGAAAACGUCAUCAAAUCUGACAAUUGAAAAAGAAAACAAAAAUAGAAGUUAUGCCGCCAAGACCACACCUAAACAAAUUUUGACGAAUUACAAGAUUAUUUUUGCCUAUUAGAACAAGCAGAUUUCUUUGUAAGUUAAAAAAAUACAAUGAAUUCAUAUAUACAUAUAUAACAUAUAACAUUGGAUAUUAUAUACAGGUAGAUGCCUGUAACACCACGAUACUUUUUGGUAACUUACUAUACAUGGCACAUUUCGCUUCAUUGUAAAAAAUUAUUGACAACGAAAUUUUCCUGAUAGGGUAUGCGUUUUUGUCAAUGCAACCAUUUUACGAUUAUCCGUUAAAUUCAAGUAAAUUUAGCAUUUUUAAAACGCAGAAUUUGUCUUCUGCUUUAAGCUGUAAUCCUUUAAAUUUAAUAAUAGCCAAAUGCUUGCUGUUGCCCAUAGACGAAAAAAUUAUUGCAUUUCCAUUAAUCCAUGUACUCUAACGGUUUUUUUUUUCAGUGCAAUAAAUUGAAGCAAACUUAAAAAACUUUGGUUAUUAAUAUGAUUGUUAAAACAGAAUUAAUUCUUAACGGUACUUUUUUGUGUGUUGGGGACAGUCAAGUCGUCGUGAAUUAGAAAGUUUUACAGUGCAUUUUCAAAUCAAGUAAGUAUAACAA